RNAcentral lists this ribosomal RNA (433 nucleotides) under uncultured bacterium. RNAcentral's name for it is "partial 16S ribosomal RNA". It matches the Rfam family "Bacterial small subunit ribosomal RNA", at positions 29 to 507 of the family's 1533-position model. The record is from RNAcentral.
AGCGAACGCUGGCGGCAGGCCUAACACAUGCAAGUCGAACGAACUCUUCGGAGUUAGUGGCGGACGGGUGAGUAACACGUGGGAACGUGCCUUUUGGUUCGGAAUAACUCAGGUAAACUUGUGCUAAUACCGAAUGUGCCCUUCGGGGGAAAGAUUUAUCGCCAUUAGAGCGGCCCGCGUCUGAUUAGCUAGUUGGUGAGGUAACGGCGCACCAAGGCGACGAUCAGUAGCUGGUCUGAGAGGAUGACCAGCCACACUGGGACUGAGACACGGCCCAGACUCCUACGGGAGGCAGCAGUGGGGAAUCUUGCGCAAUGGGCGAAAGCCUGACGCAGCAAUGCCGCGUGAAUGAUGAAGGUCUUAGGAUUGUAAAAUUCUUUCACCGGGGACGAUAAUGACGGUACCCGGAGAAGAAGCCCCGGCUAACUUCGUG